GAUGAACGCUGGCGGCGUGCCUAAUACAUGCAAGUCGAGCGAACAGACGAGGAGCUUGCUCCUCUGACGUUAGCGGCGGACGGGUGAGUAACACGUGGAUAACCUACCUAUAAGACUGGGAUAACUUCGGGAAACCGGAGCUAAUACCGGAUAAUAUAUUGAACCGCAUGGUUCAAUAGGGAAAGACGGUUUUGCUGUCACUUAUAGAUGGAUCCGCGCCGCAUUAGCUAGUUGGUAAGGUAACGGCUUACCAAGGCGACGAUGCGUAGCCGACCUGAGAGGGUGAUCGGCCACACUGGAACUGAGGCACGGUCCAGACUCCUACGGGAGGCAGCAGUAGGGAAUCUUCCGCAAUGGGCGAAAGCCUGACGGAGCAACGCCGCGUGAGUGAUGAAGGUCUUCGGAUCGUAAAACUCUGUUAUUAGGGAAGAACAAAUGUGUAAGUAACUAUGCACGUCUUGACGGUACCUAAUCAGAAAGCCACGGCUAACUACGUG
This 497-nucleotide ribosomal RNA is filed under the name uncultured bacterium. RNAcentral's name for it is "partial 16S ribosomal RNA". It matches the Rfam family "Bacterial small subunit ribosomal RNA", at positions 28 to 507 of the family's 1533-position model. The record is from RNAcentral.